GGCUAACGGGGUAGUAAGGCAUCGGAACGUACCUUUUCGUCUGGGAUAGCCAUGGGAAACUGUGAGUAAUACCGGAUAAUAUCUUCGGAUCAAAGGUUUACUGCGAUUAGAGCGGCCGAUGUGAGACUAGGUAGUUGGUAGGGUAAUGGCCUACCAAGCCAGAGAUCUCUAGGGGGUGUGAGAGCAUGACCCCCACCACUGGAACUGAGACACUGUCCAGACACCUACGGGUGGCUGCAGUCGAGAAUCUUCGGCAAUGGGCGAAAGCCUGACCGAGCGACGCUGCGUGCGGGAUGAAGGCCCUUGGGUUGUAAACCGCCGUCAGAGGGGAUCAAAGGAAACUUGAGAGAGCCUCAGAGGAAGCGCGGGCUAAGUUCGUGCCAGCAGCCGCGGUAAUACGAACUGCGCAAACGUUAUUCGGAAUCACUGGGCUUACAGGGUGCGUAGGCGGUUCGCCAGGUCAGAUGUGAAAUCCCACAGCUCAACUGUGGAACUGCAUUUGAAACCUGCGAACUUGAGUAGACUAGAGGUACACGGAACUUCAGGUGGAGCGGUGAAAUGUGUUGAGAUCUGAAGGAACACCAGAGGCGAAAGCGGUGUACUGGAGUCUGUCUGACGCUGAGGCACGAAAGCUAGGGGAGCGAACGGGAUUAGAUACCCCGGUAGUCCUAGCCGUAAA
Molecule: ribosomal RNA, 679 nt
Filed under: uncultured Planctomycetota bacterium
Lineage: Bacteria; Pseudomonadati; Planctomycetota
Description: bacterial SSU rRNA
Rfam family: Bacterial small subunit ribosomal RNA
Source: RNAcentral